This 256-nucleotide ribosomal RNA is filed under the name uncultured bacterium. RNAcentral describes it as "partial 16S ribosomal RNA". It matches the Rfam family "Bacterial small subunit ribosomal RNA", at positions 521 to 776 of the family's 1533-position model. The record is from RNAcentral.
UAAUACGAAGGGGGCUAGCGUUGUUCGGAUUUACUGGGCGUAAAGCGCGUGUAGGCGGACUGUUAAGUUGGGGGUGAAAUCCCGAGGCUCAACCUCGGAACUGCCUUCAAAACUGGCGGUCUGGAGUGAAGGAGAGGCGAGUGGAAUUCCGAGUGUAGAGGUGAAAUUCGUAGAUAUUCGGAGGAACACCAGUGGCGAAGGCGGCUCGCUGGCCUUUUACUGACGCUGAGACGCGAAAGCGUGGGGAGCAAACAGG